RNAcentral lists this long non-coding RNA (1094 nucleotides) under Helianthus annuus (common sunflower). RNAcentral's name for it is "hypothetical non coding rna". Lineage: Eukaryota; Viridiplantae; Streptophyta; Magnoliopsida; Asterales; Asteraceae. The record is from RNAcentral.
UUGGGUUAGAAAGAGAACACAAUUCAUACACCACAGAACAAACAAACUAGACUACAGAGAAGGAGCCGAUCUUGAAACAACUGUAGAUGUUUCUUGUUCUUGACUUCUGGGUUUGUCUUCCGUUUUCUUGAAGUACACAAAGGUAAAUUACACAUAAUUUUGCUGUAGGAAUGUUUUGGGUGCUCAUGAUCAAUUAUUCUAAAGGCUAGGAGAACAUGGUCGAUGACAAAGCUUCGGAAUGAAGACACGACGUGAAGGCACUCAAAAGAUGAAGAUGAUCAAGUUGUCGCUGGCCAUCAUCAACACCACAAGGAUCUUAAGCUUUGAAGAUUAAGUCAUUCACGAGCAUAACUCAAGGGGGAGCUUAUGUUAAGGGGGAGUUUGUCAACACACUUCCUACAUGAUACGGGUAGUUUGUUGAUACACUCUCUGCUUUCAAGACGUGAAGACUUUAAAGAUCCUCCGACAUUGAAGACUUAAAAGGACAUCAGAGUCUUGAAGACAUGAAGAUCAAUGAUGAUCAAGAUCGAGACAAAUCUGCACCCAUCGAAGAUCGAGACAAAGCUACAGCCAAGGGGGAGUUUGUUGGUGCACUUGUGUCUGUACUUUGUCUGUAUUCUGUCACGAUGUAAAACGAUGUCCUUGUUAGUCCUGUAAGUUGACCAAGUCAACCGUCCUCCUGGUUUGACUUGGCCAAACAGUUAGAAUUAUAGAUGUAAUUGUCUGUCUCGAAGGAUGAGAGAUCGAAGGAUGAUGUAGAUCCUUCGAUCUCCUCGAAAGAUAUGCUUCGAUUGAUGGACCUCGAAAGAUCAUCCUUCGAGGUCCUUGUGAAUCCUUCGAUGGCUUUGUGAUCGAUAGAUGAUCCUUCGACCAUCUAUCGGAUCCUUCGGACAAGACAACCAGUGCUGGGUAUAUAUACCCAUGCAGUGUGUUCAUUUGGGUCAGACACUUAGAGACAGACACAUCCGAGAGUUUGAGAGCAUUCUGUCCAGGAACACACACACACACUAGAGGGUUUGCAAAACUGAUUUGUAAACAUUGUGCUUGUAACCGGAACCUUUCAUUCGCAUUAAUACAAGUGGUGUUAAUCGGUG